Molecule: ribosomal RNA, 448 nt
Filed under: uncultured bacterium
Lineage: Bacteria
Description: SSU rRNA
Rfam family: Bacterial small subunit ribosomal RNA
Source: RNAcentral
AGGAUGAACGCUGGCGGUAUGCUUAACACAUGCAAGUCGAACGGUGCUUUCGGGCACAGUGGCGGACGGGUGAGUAACGCGUGAGAAUCUGGCUUCAGGUCUGGGACAACCACUGGAAACGGUGGCUAAUACCGGAUGUGCCGAGAGGUGAAAGGUUAACUGCCUGAAGAUGAGCUCGCGUCUGAUUAGCUAGUUGGAAGUGUAAUGGACUCCCAAGGCGACGAUCAGUAGCUGGUCUGAGAGGACGAUCAGCCACACUGGGACUGAGACACGGCCCAGACUCCUACGGGAGGCAGCAGUGGGGAAUUUUCCGCAAUGGGCGAAAGCCUGACGGAGCAAUACCGCGUGAGGGAGGAAGGCUCUUGGGUCGUAAACCUCUUUUCUCAGGGAAGAACAAAAUGACGGUACCUGAGGAAUAAGCAUCGGCUAACUCCGUGCCAGCAGCCGC